AGCAGCCGCGGUAAUUCCAGCUCCAAUAGCGUAUAUUAAAGUUGUUGUAGUUAAAAAGCUCGUAGUUGAAUUUCGGGGUUAGCAGGUCGGUCGUGCCAUCGGUAUGAACUGGUCUCGCUGAUCCCUCCCUCUUGACGAACUGUGAUGCCAUUAAUUUGGUGUCGCAGGGAAUCAGGACUGUUACUUUGAAAAAAUUAGAGUGUUUAAAGCAGGCUCACGCUUGAAUACAUUAGCAUGGAAUAAUGAAAUAGGACGUUUGAUCCUAUUUUGUUGGCUUCUAGGAUUGACGUAAUGAUUAAUAGGGAUAGUUGGGGGCAUUAGUAUUCAAUUGUCAGAGGUGAAAUUCUUGGAUUUAUUGAAGACUAACUACUGCGAAAGCAUUUGCCAAGGAUGUUUUCAUUAAUCAAGAACGAAAGUUAGGGGAUCGAAGACGAUCAGAUACCGUCGUAG
Molecule: ribosomal RNA, 450 nt
Filed under: uncultured Glomeromycotina
Lineage: Eukaryota; Fungi; Glomeromycota
Description: SSU rRNA
Rfam family: Eukaryotic small subunit ribosomal RNA
Source: RNAcentral